This 497-nucleotide ribosomal RNA is filed under the name uncultured bacterium. Its description in RNAcentral is "partial 16S ribosomal RNA". It matches the Rfam family "Bacterial small subunit ribosomal RNA", at positions 28 to 507 of the family's 1533-position model. The record is from RNAcentral.
GACGAACGCUGGCGGCGUGCCUAAUACAUGCAAGUUGAGCGCUGAAGGUUGGUACUUGUACCAACUGGAUGAGCAGCGAACGGGUGAGUAACGCGUGGGGAAUCUGCCUUUGAGCGGGGGACAACAUUUGGAAACGAAUGCUAAUACCGCAUAAAAACUUUAAACACAAGUUUUAAGUUUGAAAGAUGCAAUUGCAUCACUCAAAGAUGAUCCCGCGUUGUAUUAGCUAGUUGGUGAGGUAAAGGCUCACCAAGGCGAUGAUACAUAGCCGACCUGAGAGGGUGAUCGGCCACAUUGGGACUGAGACACGGCCCAAACUCCUACGGGAGGCAGCAGUAGGGAAUCUUCGGCCAUGGACGAGAGUCUGACCGAGCAACGCCGCGUGAGUGAAGAAGGUUUUCGGAUCGUAAAACUCUGUUGGUAGAGAAGAACGUUGGUGAGAGUGGAAAGCUCAUCAAGUGACGGUAACUACCCAGAAAGGGACGGCUAACUACGUG